AUGGACUCUGGGGCGACAGAGCAUCUGACCAGCGAGAUGGGGAAGCUUCACACUCGUGAACCCUAUCAUGGCUCCGACAAGAUCCACACCGCCAAUGGAGCAGGUAUGCACAUCUCUCAUAUUGGUCAAGCAUCUCUUCUCACUAGACAUGCCAAUAGGAGUCUUCAGCUUCGCAAUGUUCUUCGAGUUCCAUCUGUGACCCGUAAUCUUCUUUCAGUUCCUAAACUCACACGUGAUAAUAAUGUGCUUUGUGAAUUUCACCCUUUUGAUCUUUUUAUUAAGGAUCGGGGCACGAGGGACAUUCUUCUUAGUGGGCGGUUGUGCCAGGGCCUCUACCGUCUGGAGCAUCCUGGCGUCGCCCGUGUUUUCAGUGGAGUUCGGGUCUCUCCGUCAUAG
Molecule: ribosomal RNA, 396 nt
Filed under: Triticum aestivum (bread wheat)
Lineage: Eukaryota; Viridiplantae; Streptophyta; Magnoliopsida; Poales; Poaceae
Description: partial small subunit ribosomal RNA
Source: RNAcentral